AUUGAACGCUGGCGGAAUGCUUUACACAUGCAAGUCGAACGGCAGCAUAGGUGCUUGCACCUGAUGGCGAGUGGCGAACGGGUGAGUAAUACAUCGGAACGUGCCCAGUCGUGGGGGAUAACGUAGCGAAAGUUACGCUCACAUCGCAUACGAUCUAAGGAUGAAAGCGGGGGACCGUAAGGCCUCGCGCGAUUGGAGCGGACGAUGUCAGAUUAGGUAGUUGGUGAGGUAAAGGCUCACCAAGCCGACGAUCUGUAGCUGGUCUGAGAGGGCGACCAGCCACACUGGGACUGAGACACGGCCCAGACUCCUACGGGAGGCAGCAGUGGGGAAUUUUGGACAAUGGACGCAAGUCUGAUCCAGCCAUUCCGCGUGCAGGACGAAGGCCUUCGGGUUGUAAACUGCUUUUGUACGGAACGAAAAAGCUCUUACUAAUACUAGGAGUCCAUGACGGUACCGUAAGAAUAAGCACCGGCUAACUACGUGCCAGCCGCCGCUGUAA
This 502-nucleotide ribosomal RNA is filed under the name uncultured bacterium. RNAcentral's name for it is "partial 16S ribosomal RNA". It matches the Rfam family "Bacterial small subunit ribosomal RNA", at positions 30 to 523 of the family's 1533-position model. The record is from RNAcentral.